AAUAGCGACCACGGCUUUCAUCAUCGCCCCAGGGAGGGAGCCCAGCCCUGCCCGACCCUGACUAUCUGCGAUCAUGCUGACCCGACCCGCCACGGCCCCAGGCCCCCGAUUUGGGUUCUGGCCCCAGCCCUCAGCUUUGCCUUUGCUACAGCCGGUGCCCGUAUAGCCCAGCCUCGCUCCGGCCGCCCGUCCUGUCCCCCAAUUCUAGGAGGGGUGCAUCUUUCUCCAGGAAGCCCUCUCCGACCGCUGGCUUCCGUGGCCUCUGCGCCCACCCCCCUGCCCGCCCCCGGGCUACUUACAUUUUCUCCACGGCCUCA
Molecule: long non-coding RNA, 317 nt
Filed under: Homo sapiens (human)
Lineage: Eukaryota; Metazoa; Chordata; Mammalia; Primates; Hominidae
Description: non-protein coding lnc-FAM109A-2:1
Source: RNAcentral